GACGAACGCUGGCGGCGUGCUUAACACAUGCAAGUCGAACGGUGAACCUCUUCGGAGGGGAUCAGUGGCGAACGGGUGAGUAACACGUGGGCAACCUGCCCCCGGCUCUGGGAUAACUCCAAGAAAUUGGGGCUAAUACCGGAUGUUCACCGCUUCCCGCAUGGGUGGUGGUGCAAAGGGUUUCCGGCUGGGGAUGGGCCCGCGGCCUAUCAGCUGGGUGGUGGGGUAGUGGCGUACCAAGGCGACGACGGGUAGCCGGCCUGGGAGGUUGACCGGCCACACUGGGCCUGCGACACGGCCCAGAGUCCAACGGGAGGCAGCAGUGGGGAAUAUUGCGCAAUGGGCGGAAGCCUGACGCAGCGACGCCGCGUGGGGGAUGACGGCCUUCGGGUUGUAAACCUCUUUCAGCAGGGACGAAGCGCAAGUGACGGUACCUGCAGAAGAAGCACCGGCCAACUACGUG
This 463-nucleotide ribosomal RNA is filed under the name uncultured bacterium. RNAcentral's name for it is "partial 16S ribosomal RNA". It matches the Rfam family "Bacterial small subunit ribosomal RNA", at positions 28 to 507 of the family's 1533-position model. The record is from RNAcentral.